Long non-coding RNA from Bradysia coprophila, 1158 nucleotides. Lineage: Eukaryota; Metazoa; Arthropoda; Insecta; Diptera; Sciaridae. The record is from RefSeq and is a predicted model, not a curated record.
ACUCUAUACGUUUAUAAAAAAAACGAAGAGAGAAAGGAAAAAAUGAACAUUUGUUAAGUUUGGUUCGUUUUGUUAUUAUAUAGCAAGAAAAAAGCGUGACAAAUGUUUGAGCGGUAAGUGCAUGAAGAAGAUUCGUAAACACAUACCAAUCGUCUGCUGGAUCUUUCCUCGGGUACUCGAGGUGAUACGGAACUAAAUGGAUAGGGGGAGGAGUACCGCUUAUAGAAAUCCGUGCCUUGUUCAGCGGCCACUGAAACAAUAUUAGAAAUAUUUUUCAUAUUCGAAACUACAUGUUUUUGUUUUGUAUCUGUGGUUUACAAAGGUCUAAUUAAUUAAAUUUUGUUAUUUUUUGUGAUUUGCAGUUUUUUUUUUGUCAAUAAUAUUGUUGGUGUUGCAAAAAAUUAUAAAAUCAAGUGAAUAGAAUAUAAGCGAAGUGUGAAAGAUUGGAAGGAAGAGAAGGAUUUAAGAUUAAGAGUAAAAGAAAUGGUUUGGUCGAGGGAAAUUUCUAAUAUUUUCAGUUCCUCCUAAACAUUCAACAACAUCAAAAACGAUAAUAAAUUCAAUUAAAUUCAAAAAUCAAUUGGCCGUGCGCAUUUUCCGGAUUUCUAUAAACUUUUUCACUCCCGCCCCAUAAAGUUUCGAACCCACAAAUCUUUCGUCGUUUUUUUUUUGUUUUAAAUCAUUUGUGUGUUCGACAUUUAUUUUCGCAUGAAACAUUUUUUUGGUCUCAACUCAACAAUGGACAUUCUUCGUUGAGAUAUUAGUCUUUUUGUGUGUUUAAUAUCAAAAUCUUUUUACAUGAGCUAGAGAAGAACAACAAUUUACCAAUCGUCUAGGCUGUUUGACUAACGGUCGAUUCAUUCCAUUCAUUUUAUGGUACAGGCCACAUGCAUUGCAUAAAUAAUGACCGGUUCCGUCGCGUCGCCACAAAGGUGUCGAAAUUGCACCGCAAUUGACGCAUUCACGUCCUUCCGUAAAUAAAUCAGCUUCAACACCGCCUAAUCCGCCUACUUUUGAUACAUAUUUUAUUGAAUUGAUAUUAUGGAUUUAAUUGAAUUUAUUACAAUUUUUGGUAUUUUUAAAAACUUUUUUUUUAAUUUUUUGGUUUGUUGAUGAUGUCGAAAUAAAUGCAUUCUUUAGUGGGUGGGAGUAUGGGUG